Molecule: ribosomal RNA, 253 nt
Filed under: uncultured bacterium
Lineage: Bacteria
Description: partial 16S ribosomal RNA
Rfam family: Bacterial small subunit ribosomal RNA
Source: RNAcentral
UACAGAGGGUGCGAGCGUUGUUCGGAAUUAUUGGGCGUAAAGCGCGUGUAGGCGGCCAACUAAGUCAUACGUGAAAUCCCUCAGCUUAACUGGGGAACUGCGUGUGAUACUGGAUGGCUUGGAUUUGGGAGAGGGAUGCGGAAUUCCAGGUGUAGCGGUGAAAUGCGUAGAUAUCUGGAGGAACACCGGUGGCGAAGGCGGCAUCCUGGACCAAUAUUGACGCUGAGGAGCGAAAGCCAGGGGAGCAAACGGG